RNAcentral lists this long non-coding RNA (232 nucleotides) under Trifolium pratense (red clover). Its description in RNAcentral is "long non-coding RNA (TPRA_LNC001624)". The record is from RNAcentral. Lineage: Eukaryota; Viridiplantae; Streptophyta; Magnoliopsida; Fabales; Fabaceae.
CCACCAGUUUAAUCUGGUUUGGGGGUCAAUUUUGACAUCAAGUGGUUUUAGUCCCUCCCGAUCGGUUGAGAUAGCAUUUCCUCACUUCCAUAAAUUUCUACCAAGCGUUAAUUAGUGCAUUGAUUGAUCGUCUUCCAUGUAUCUAGGCAAUUGUUCUUUGUCCUAUUGCUAUGUAGUAGUUAUGAAGUUUUAGCUUUUUCAAUCACACAAGAAAGUAUGAUGUGUUGAGUAA